GUGGUAACAAGGUUUCCGUAGGUGAACUUGGGGAAGGAUCAUUA
RNAcentral lists this ribosomal RNA (44 nucleotides) under Phytophthora megasperma. RNAcentral's name for it is "partial 18S ribosomal RNA". The record is from RNAcentral. Lineage: Eukaryota; Oomycota; Peronosporomycetes; Peronosporales; Peronosporaceae.